RNAcentral lists this long non-coding RNA (236 nucleotides) under Setaria italica (foxtail millet). RNAcentral's name for it is "long non-coding RNA (SITA_LNC001169)". Lineage: Eukaryota; Viridiplantae; Streptophyta; Magnoliopsida; Poales; Poaceae. The record is from RNAcentral.
UUGAAUUCUAUCAAAAGUUGGAGGCAAUCUUCGUAGUAAAUCCUCAAGACAUCAUCUUUGCAUUCAGAUCUCCCCAUUAAUUGAUCCACAAUGAGCAUGGAAUCUCCAAAAAUUUUCACAGCAUCGGCUUUGAUUUCUCUCAACAAUUGAAUGCCCUUUAGAAUGGCUGGGUAUUCUGCCUGAUUAUUGGUCGCGGAUGCUUCUAUUGCCAGAGAGAAAUCAUAUCCUGCCCCCCG